AAUCAGAGUUUAUAUUUGAGAGGUGAUGAUGAAAUUAAAGAUGUCAAAGCAGCAGCAGAACAGUCAUCUCAUCUUCAUCUGAAAAAGAUGUCAGAAAUUCAGCUAUUGUCGUGUAGUUGAAGACCUGGUUCCUUCCUUUUCAGAUAGUGCCAUGGAAAAACUGAAGAAAUUGCUUGGCUCAUGAUGAUGUUCCUCAGCCCUGGAUUACCAGUGUCAACAGGAGAAGAAUUUUUAAAUAGUUUUCCCUAUGUAUUAGUCGAACCAACUUUUGAGAUUUUAGCAAGCUCGAGCUUAGCUUUGCCUGUCCUUAAGGCAUUUCCUUGUAUGGGGGGUCUGAUCAGUCGCAUAUUGUAUGGGGGUCUGAUCAGUCGCAUAAUACUGUGAUAAUCACUUCGAAAGUUAAGUGUUAGCAAAGAAAAAAUUACGAUAUGAUUAUAUGAUAGUUUUUUUUAUUUUGACUCGGUGCA
Neltuma alba is the source of this 467-nucleotide long non-coding RNA. RefSeq lists it as uncharacterized. The transcript is spliced from 3 exons. NCBI's taxonomy places the organism in Eukaryota, Viridiplantae, Streptophyta, Magnoliopsida, Fabales, Fabaceae. The record is from RefSeq and is a predicted model, not a curated record.